AGCUCCAAUAGCGUAUAUUUAAGUUGUUGCAGUUAAAAAGCUCGUAGUUGGAUUUUGGGCGCGGCAGGCCGGUCCGCCGAUUCGGUGUGCACUGGCAGGCGGCGUCUUUCUGCCGAGGACGUGUCAUGGCUUUCAUCGGUCGUGGCACGGAGUCGGCGAUGUUACUUUGAAAAAAUUAGAGUGUUCAAAGCGGGCCUACGCUUGAAUAUAUUAGCAUGGAAUAACACCAUAGGACUCCUGUCCUAUUCUGUUGGUCUUCGGGAUGGGAGUAAUGAUUAAGAGGAACAGUUGGGGGCAUUCGUAUUUCAUUGUCAGAGGUGAAAUUCUUGGAUUUAUGAAAGACGAACUUCUGCGAAAGCAUUUGCCAAGGAUGUUUUCA
Molecule: ribosomal RNA, 379 nt
Filed under: uncultured eukaryote
Lineage: Eukaryota
Description: SSU rRNA
Rfam family: Eukaryotic small subunit ribosomal RNA
Source: RNAcentral